GAUUUCUGACAUAUCUGCCAUGUGACACAGAAGUUGCUGAAACAUAUUGAAAUCAUCAGUUUGAACAGAAGGGGCACUAUUGCCUUGUCUGGUGAAGAAAAGGAGGGUACUUCUCCGAUUGCAGUGACUCAUCACCACAUCAUGAUGCAGCACUACAUUACUCCACAAUGUAAUGGUAUCCACCAAAACUGCAUAAUACACCCCUCUUCUAAGACUUUUGCUGAAAGAUUCAGGUGAGACACUUAAAAUCUGUUAAGAAGCAUCACCACGUUGCCUUUGUCCUCAAAAAUUCACUUCACAAUGUAGUUCAAAAUUGCUAAAUUUGUUUCUUCAAAUAUUCAUGGACUUGCUCCAGUCUUCUUGGUCUUGUUUAGACUAGAAUUGCUGGUUGUGCUGUAACUUGAAUUAAUUGAUUGCCAAUUAAUACUACCAUAUAUAUUUGAGAGACAUUUGUUCCUGGUCAUGGUUAGAGUCCUGCAUGGAUACAAAAUUUGUAUCCACAGCCGAUCAGCAAUCCGCAAACAUAGUCCACGGAUAUCUGCUGAUUUGCAGGGAUCUAGUCAUGGUUUACCUGAGGUCUCAGUGUAAUAUACCUAAUUAAAUCAUACUGGUGUAAACCAUGCUUUACUUGUGUGUAGCAUAACUAUGUUAAGGGUUUGCACAUUGAUGUAGCUCAGCAGUUCUCAACCAGGGGUCCAAGCCCCCAUGGGGGGGCCGCGAGCAGGUUUCAGGAGGUCUGCCAAGCAGGGUCGGCAUUAGAUUUGCUGGAGCCCAGGGCGGAAAGUUCAAGCCCCGCCAUGUGGGACAGACGCCCAAGGCCCCAAGCCCCACCACCCAGCACUGAAGCCGAAGCCUGAGCAACUUAGCUUUGCAGGGCCCCCUGUGGCAUGGGGACCUGGGAGGCAAUUGCCCUGCUUGCCCCCCCAA
Chrysemys picta bellii (western painted turtle) is the source of this 927-nucleotide long non-coding RNA. RefSeq lists it as uncharacterized. The record is from RefSeq and is a predicted model, not a curated record. NCBI's taxonomy places the organism in Eukaryota, Metazoa, Chordata, Testudines, Emydidae.